GGGUGAUCUGGUGGUGGAAUCUGUCACCCCACUGACCACGAGGGUUGAUCCAGCUGCUCUGGCUGUCUAGGAGGGGACCCCUUUCUCCCUCCCAAAGCUGCACGCUUUAUGGAAGAGGAUGACCACCCUCCACAGAGGAGGACCACUUCCUCAGCAAAGGGAUAUGUGUAGCUGUGCUUCCCUCCUAGAACCUCCAAAUAAGCUCACAAUAGCUCUAAGAAAAAUGAAAUAUUUAGGAAUUAUCCCACACAAGGAAGUGAAAGACCACUACAACAAAACUU
This 281-nucleotide small nuclear RNA is filed under the name Fukomys damarensis (Damara mole-rat). RNAcentral describes it as "7SK RNA". It matches the Rfam family "7SK RNA". Rfam says of the family: 7SK was discovered as an abundant small nuclear RNA in the mid-70s but a possible function has only recently been suggested. The record is from Rfam by way of RNAcentral. Lineage: Eukaryota; Metazoa; Chordata; Mammalia; Rodentia; Bathyergidae.